AGCCGGAUAAUCGCGUUCUUUAUGAAUGAGGAAAGUCCGUGCAUCCAAGGACAGGUUGCCGGAGAAACUCCGGACGGUGUGAACCGGUGGAAAGUGCCACAGAAAGAUACGGCCGAUGGACGUGAGUCACAGGCAAAGGUGCAAUGGUGAGUUAAGAGCUUCACCGUCGGUAUUGAGAAAUAUCGGACAGGUAAACCCCAACCGGAUGCAAGAUUGACAGGAAGGCUAUAAAGGUGUCCGCCCACUUCCGACAAAUCGCUAGAGAUCAGGAGUAAUCCUGAUACCAGACAGAUGAUUAUCUAGAAACAGAACACGGCUUAUGAGCUGCUUUA
This 332-nucleotide RNase P RNA is filed under the name bovine gut metagenome. Its description in RNAcentral is "Bacterial RNase P class A". It matches the Rfam family "Bacterial RNase P class A". From Rfam's summary of the family: Ribonuclease P (RNase P) is a ubiquitous endoribonuclease, found in archaea, bacteria and eukarya as well as chloroplasts and mitochondria. Its best characterised activity is the generation of mature 5'-ends of tRNAs by cleaving the 5'-leader elements of precursor-tRNAs. The record is from RNAcentral.